RNAcentral lists this ribosomal RNA (258 nucleotides) under uncultured bacterium. Its description in RNAcentral is "partial 16S ribosomal RNA". The record is from RNAcentral.
CUGCUGCCUUCCGUAGGAGUUUGGGCCGUGUCUCAGUCCCAAUGUGGCCGUCCACCCUCUCAGGCCGGCUACUGAUCGUCGCCUUGGUGGGCCUCUACCCCGCCAACAAGCUAAUCAGACGCGGGUCCAUCUUACACCACCGGAGUUUUUCACACCGGGCCAUGCGGCCCUGUGCGCUUAUGCGGUAUUAGCACCUGUUUCCAGGUGUUAUCCCCCUGUGUAAGGCAGGUUACCCACGCGUUACUCACCCGUCCGCCA